AGUUUGAUCCUGGCUCAGGAUAAACGCUGGCGGCGUGCCUAACCCAUGCAAGUCGGACGAUCCCGCAAGGGAGAGUGGCGGAAGGGUGAGUAACACGUAGAAAUCUACCUCGCCGGAGGGAACAACCCCUCGAAAGAGAGGCUAAUACCCAAAAGGAUCCGCAAGGAUCAGAGUCCGCAAGGGCCUGGCGAGAGGAGUCUGCGGCCCAUCAGCUAGUUGGUGGGGUAACGGCCUACCAAGGCUACGACGGGUAGGGGGUCUGAGAGGAUGUCCCCCCACACUGGAACUGAAACACGGUCCAGACGCCUACGGGUGGCAGCAGGGAGGAAUAUUGGACAAUGGGGGAAACCCCGAUCCAGCAACGCCGCGUGAGGGAUGAAGGCCUUCGGGUUGUAAACCUCUUUUCAGGGAGACGAGCAAGGACGGUAUCCCUGGAAUAAGUCACGGCUAACUACGUGCCAGCAGCCGCGGUAAUACGUAGGUGGCGAGCGUUAUCCGGAUUUACUGGGCGUAAAGCGCUUGUAGGUGGCUUCGUAAGUUGGGCGUGAAAGCUCCGGGCUUAACUCGGAGAGGCCGUCCAAUACUGCGGGGCUAGAGGAUGUCAGAGGAAGGUGGAAUUCCUGGUGUAGUGGUGAAAUGCGUAGAUAUCAGGAGGAACACCCGUGGCGAAGGCGGCCUUCUGGGGCAUUCCUGACACUGAGAAGCGAAAGCUAGGGGAGCAAACAGGAUUAGAAACCCUGGUAGUCCUAGCCGUAAACGAUGGAUGCUAGGUGUUGGUGGAUUUAACCCCAUCAGUGCCGAAGCUAACGCGUUAAGCAUCCCGCCUGGGAAGUACGACCGCAAGGUUAAAACUCAAACGGAAUUGACGGGGACCCGCACAAGCAGCGGAGCGUGUGGUUUAAUUCGAUGCUACACGAAGAACCUUACCCAGGCUGACAU
This 939-nucleotide ribosomal RNA is filed under the name uncultured bacterium. RNAcentral describes it as "bacterial SSU rRNA". It matches the Rfam family "Bacterial small subunit ribosomal RNA", at positions 10 to 987 of the family's 1533-position model. The record is from RNAcentral.